This 205-nucleotide unclassified non-coding RNA is filed under the name Hevea brasiliensis (rubber tree). Lineage: Eukaryota; Viridiplantae; Streptophyta; Magnoliopsida; Malpighiales; Euphorbiaceae. The record is from RNAcentral.
UCUUCUUCAUCAUCAUUUUAGUCGGCUUCGAAUGCAAGGGUCUCACUACCGUCUUCUUUCCCUUCGUAGAAUCCACACUUGGAUUCCUAAAAUCCUUUGGUACCUCCAAUAAAGAAUCCACCAAGUCUACAUCCAAUGAAAGUAUCUCGCGAAAAAUAGGAUAGAAUUGGCCUUGAAAACAAAGGGAAGUGAGCUUAGCAAAAUC